Molecule: ribosomal RNA, 253 nt
Filed under: uncultured bacterium
Lineage: Bacteria
Description: partial 16S ribosomal RNA
Rfam family: Bacterial small subunit ribosomal RNA
Source: RNAcentral
UACGUAGGUGGCAAGCGUUGUCCGGAUUUACUGGGCGUAAAGGGCGUGCAGGCGGUUUGUUUAGUCUAGGGUGAAAGCUCCCGGCUUAACUGGGAGAGGUCCUUGGAUACUGGCAAACUUGAGGGAGGCAGAGGAAAGUGGAAUUCCCGGUGUAGUGGUGAUAUGCGUAGAUAUCGGGAAGAACACCCGUGGCGAAGGCGGUUCUCUGGGACGGUACUGACGCUGAGACGCGAAAGCGUGGGGAGCGAACAGG